GAUGAACGCUGGCGGCGUGCCUAAUACAUGCAAGUCGAGCGAACAGACGAGGAGCUUGCUCCUCUGACGUUAGCGGCGGACGGGUGUGUAACACGUGGAUAACCUACCUAUAAGACUGGGAUAACUUCGGGAAACCGGACCUAAUACCGGAUAAUAUAUUGAACCGCAUGGUUCAAUAGUGAAAGACGGUUUUGCUGUCACUUAUAGAUUGAUCCGCGCCGCAUUAGCUAGUUGGUAAGGUAACGGCUUACCAAGGCAACGAUGCGUAGCCGACCUGAGAGGAUGAUCGGCCCCACUGGAACUGAGACACGGUCCAGACUCCUACGGGAGGCAGCAGUAGGGAAUCUUCCGCAAUGGGCGAAAGCCUGACGGAGCAACGCCGCGUGAGUGAUGAAGGUCUUCGGAUCGUAAAGCUCUGUUAUUAGGGAAGAAAAAAUGUGUAAGUACCUAUGCACGUCUUGACGGUACCCAAUCAGAAAGCCACGGCUAACUUCGUG
RNAcentral lists this ribosomal RNA (497 nucleotides) under uncultured bacterium. RNAcentral's name for it is "partial 16S ribosomal RNA". It matches the Rfam family "Bacterial small subunit ribosomal RNA", at positions 28 to 507 of the family's 1533-position model. The record is from RNAcentral.